AACUAGGCUUUUCUCUGAGAAAAAGAAUAGCCUUGAUUGUGCUUGAACUAGGUAGUUGUAUCAAUGUAGCUGCAAUCUUGAAUAUUGAUCAUAGGGUGAUGAUAGAGGAACUCAAUAUCAUCCAUCUCAAUCGACUCUUCUUCCUCAACUGAUCAAACGCUUAGUAGCUAUGGUCGGUUACUGCCUUAUAAGUUCAACUCUGGGUGAUGUAUGCCUUUCAGUAAGAUCACCACCAUUAGUUGUCUGUUUAGAGAAGCUACGAUCUUGAUGAUUCCGUCCUAGUUGAUUGCCACACUAGAGUGUCAAAAUCGAUAGGAGAGGAGCCUCAUUUGUAGAAGCCUUGAAUCAUUUCAAGCCCUGUUAAGCCACGGAUGGUUGGUUAAUGUGCCGUCAUUGCUUACUCAUGUAUAUAUGCGUUUCAGUAAUAUCACCACAGUAAUUUGUUUAGUUACUUUCUUUUAGUUUAGAGUAGAACAGCUUCA
This 482-nucleotide long non-coding RNA is filed under the name Salvia miltiorrhiza (redroot sage). RNAcentral describes it as "long non-coding RNA (SMIL_LNC002383)". Lineage: Eukaryota; Viridiplantae; Streptophyta; Magnoliopsida; Lamiales; Lamiaceae. The record is from RNAcentral.